Molecule: ribosomal RNA, 416 nt
Filed under: uncultured bacterium
Lineage: Bacteria
Description: bacterial SSU rRNA
Rfam family: Bacterial small subunit ribosomal RNA
Source: RNAcentral
UAUUGGUCAAUGGUCGGGAGACUGAACCAGCCAAGCCGCGUGAGGGAGGAAGGUACAGAGUAUCGUAAACCUCUUUUGUCAGGGAACAAAGGCGGGGACGUGUCCCCGGACGAGUGUACCUGAAGAAAAAGCAUCGGCUAACUCCGUGCAAGCAGCCUCGGUAAUACGGAGGAUGCGAGCGUUAUCCGGAUUUAUUGGGUUUAAAGGGUGCGCGGGCGGUCUCUUAAGUCAGCGGUCAAAGCCAGGGGCUCAACCCCGGCCCGCCGUUGAAACUGGCAGUCUCGAGUUGGAGAGAAGUAUGCGGAAUGCGCGGUGUAGCGGUGAAAUGCAUAGACAUCGCGCAGAACUCCGAUUGCGAAGGCAGCAUGCCGGCUCCACACUGACGCUGAGGCACGAAAGCGUGGGUAUCGAACAGG